UGCAAUGAUGGUGUAAUUUGCGUCCGACACCGCGUCCAGAGACAAAAUGCCUAUUGUCAAACACUGGCUCGGUCGACUGACGAACAUUGUGUCUGAGCA
Small nucleolar RNA from Nerophis lumbriciformis (worm pipefish), 99 nucleotides. RefSeq annotates it as small nucleolar RNA SNORD16. The record is from RefSeq and is a predicted model, not a curated record. NCBI's taxonomy places the organism in Eukaryota, Metazoa, Chordata, Actinopteri, Syngnathiformes, Syngnathidae.